This 465-nucleotide ribosomal RNA is filed under the name uncultured bacterium. RNAcentral describes it as "partial 16S ribosomal RNA". It matches the Rfam family "Bacterial small subunit ribosomal RNA", at positions 28 to 507 of the family's 1533-position model. The record is from RNAcentral.
GACGAACGCUGGCGGCGUGCUUAACACAUGCAAGUCGAACGGAAAGGCCCUGCUUGCAGGGUACUCGAGUGGCGAACGGGUGAGUAACACGUGGGUGGUCUGCCCUGCACUUCGGGAUAAGCCUGGGAAACUGGGUCUAAUACCGGAUAGGAGCCAUUUUUAGUGUGAUGGUUGGAAAGUUUUUUCGGUGUAGGAUGAGCUCGCGGCCUAUCAGCUUGUUGGUGGGGUAAUGGCCUACCAAGGCGGCGACGGGUAGCCGGCCUGAGAGGGUGGACGGCCACAUUGGGACUGAGAUACGGCCCAGACUCCUACGGGAGGCAGCAGUGGGGAAUAUUGCACAAUGGGCGCAAGCCUGAUGCAGCGACGCCGCGUGGGGGAUGACGGCCUUCGGGUUGUAAACUCCUUUCGCUAGGGGCGAAGCUUUUUGUGACGGUACCUAGAUAAGAAGCACCGGCUAACUACGUG